RNAcentral lists this ribosomal RNA (405 nucleotides) under uncultured bacterium. Its description in RNAcentral is "bacterial SSU rRNA". It matches the Rfam family "Bacterial small subunit ribosomal RNA", at positions 355 to 775 of the family's 1533-position model. The record is from RNAcentral.
CAAGGAAUCUUCCGCAAUGGGGGCAACCCUGACGGAGCAACGCCGCGUGGGGGAUGAGGCCCUUCGGGGUGUAAACCCCUUUUCUUCGGGAUGAAGUUCUGACAGUACCGGAGGAAGAAGGACCGGCUAACUACGUGCCAGCAGCCGCGGUAAUACGUAGGGUCCGAGCGUUGUCCGGAGUUACUGGGCGUAAAGGGCGCGCAGGCGGCGGUGUUGGCCCGGCGUGAAAGCCCCCGGCUCAACCGGGGAGGGUCGUCGGGGACCGCACCGCUUGAGGGCGGUAGGGGCUGGUGGAAUGCCUGGUGUAGUGGUGAAAUGCGUAGAGAUCAGGCAGAACACCCGUGGCGAAGGCGGCCAGCUGGGCCGUCCCUGACGCUGAGGCGCGAAGGCGUGGGGAGCGAACGG